Molecule: ribosomal RNA, 253 nt
Filed under: uncultured bacterium
Lineage: Bacteria
Description: partial 16S ribosomal RNA
Rfam family: Bacterial small subunit ribosomal RNA
Source: RNAcentral
UACGGAGGGAGCUAGCGUUGUUCGGAAUUACUGGGCGUAAAGCGCACGUAGGCGGCUUUUUAAGUCAGGGGUGAAAUCCCGGAGCUCAACUCCGGAACUGCCCUUGAAACUGCAGUGCUAGAAUCUUGGAGAGGCGAGUGGAAUUCCGAGUGUAGAGGUGAAAUUCGUAGAUAUUCGGAAGAACACCAGUGGCGAAGGCGACUCGCUGGACAAGUAUUGACGCUGAGGUGCGAAAGCGUGGGGAGCAAACAGG